Molecule: long non-coding RNA, 20722 nt
Organism: Bombyx mori (domestic silkworm)
Lineage: Eukaryota; Metazoa; Arthropoda; Insecta; Lepidoptera; Bombycidae
Exons: 2
Source: RefSeq, a predicted model, not a curated record
UUUUUUUUUUUCAAAAAAAACCUACUUUUUUGGUAUAAAUCAAUGUGUUAGUACAUUUUUAAAUGUAGAUACUAUAGUUUUAAUUGUUUAUUAAGAAACCUGUAAAAGAUGAAAUACACUUAAAACUUAAAAUGUUCUUUUUAAUUGUUGUAAACGGAAAGUCGAUCCAAAGUGACGUCCUACCAAUAGUUAUUAUAUGAAAAGCAAAAACUAAUCUGAAACAAUAUACUAUGAUUAACAGUAUAUAAGAACAUUUUGAUAAAAUAGCAGACUUUACGUCGCGAUCGCAACGAAAUAAUUCUCGGAAAAUAUUGUUAUAUUUUCGUGGAGAAUUGCCAAUAGAAAAAAGAUAUGUGAUAUAAAUUUUAUUGAAACAUAAAUUUUAGCACUUCGUUCUCGUGAAGUCUACAGAAUCUUAUUUCAAUUCAUGCGGUACGUGUUAUCCGUUUUUUUUUAGUUCUUAACAUGAAAUUUUCAACACAGACAAUACCGGUAUUACUUUUAUUGGAAAUUAAAUGGCUAAAUGCUUUUAUUAAUUAAUUUUCUUAAUCAACCCUUUUUUAUUUUAAAGUAUUGUCAGUAUGACACGAUUUAACACUGCGCACCAGUGUAGCGCAAAAGAAAGACAGAUAAUAAUUACUUACCCAGCGUAAUGAAAAUAUCACCAACAAUUUCGCAAAUUUAAUAAUACUAGUGGUCCCUCAGUAGUCGAAAUUCGACUAUAAUUAAUAGUAAUUAUAAGUUUGAACACUAUUAUGAAUCUAUUGUCAGAGACAAUACUUUUACAAUAACAGAUUUCGCCUAGGCAGGCCAAGGCUACACUAUAGACAAAUAAUAUUAAUCUAUUCUCAAUUUGAACACAGUCUUUAAACAAUAAAUAAUAAAAGUUUGACAAUAAACAAAAGGGUAUAUGUGAGAUGUGUAUUGAGUGUAUGUAUGGUAUGUGUGUGUCGGUAAUAGACGGUAGUGUAUGUCAUGUCUUUAUUUUAAAAUUUUAUGUAGUUUUUAUGCAAAUAAAAAAAAAAUAGCAUUCUCUAUAUUCUCUAUAAGUGUAGGAAAUUUCAUACUCCUCCGUCUACGUAAUUUUCGUAAAAAGGGAUACAAAGUUUUUGCUGGAUGUAUUAAUAUUACCGGACGACAUGGAAACAGCUCACGAGACAGGCAACGGUCAAGUUUCAGGGACACGACCUUCAGCAAUGAAGAAAGCGACGAAGAAGAAGAAGAUUAAUAUUAUAGAUACGCGUUUUUUUUUUACCAAAAUCUAUUUUUCUUACUGUAGAAGUUGUUCGUGAAACCGAUAUUAGGUACGGUUUGGUAGGCAGCGACUUGGCUGUGCCCCUAGCGUUGCUGAUGGUAACCGCUUACCAUCUGGUGGCUGUAUGCUCGUCUGUCUUUUUUUUAUUGCCUAGAUGGGUGGUUGAGCUCACCGCCCACCUGGUGUUAAGUAAUUACUGGAGCCCAUAGACAUCUGCAACGUAAAUGCGCCACCCACCUUGAGAUAUAAGUUCUAGGGUCUCAAGUACAGUUACAACGGCUGCCCCGCCCCACCUUUCAAACCGAAACGCAUUACUGCUUCACGGCACAAAUAGGCAAGGCGGUGGUACCUACCCGCACGGACUUACAAGAGGUCCUACUACCUAAAAAGGGUGCCUAAAAAGGCAAUAAAAAUAUCUAGGAGAAACCGGCAUUACCGUAUUAGACGCUUACAAAAAUGGCCGACUGCUUCAAGCUAUAAGAAAAUAAAGAAUACCGUCGUCGCAAAGAAAAAAAUAAGGCUUCAUUUCACACUCCAGACAUUAUACUCCCGGAGGCGGGUUCCUGUCAAUAUUAAGAUAUGGAAAUUGCUCCUGCCAUUACUAAUGUAUUUAUUGCGUUCCUUUGGCAGAAGCUCAAGUAUUUUACAUUACAAUAAUGCUCGUCUGAUUGUUAGUAGACGGCUGACAGAACUACGAUUAGAAUUUUUAUACGUUAAAAAUAGUUAUACGUAUUUGAAUAUAUAUAUAGAGCUGUUAAAACGUUAGCGCCUAACACCGGAGUACUAUACAUCUAUACUAAUAUUAUAAGCUGAAGAGUUUGUUUGUUUGAACGCGCUAAUCUCAGGAACUACUGGUCCGAUUUCAAAAAUUAUUUCAGUGUUAUUUAGCCCAUUUAUCGAUGAAGACUAUAGGCUAUAUAGCAUCACGCUAAGACCAAUAAAAGCGGAGCACCGAUAAAUAAUGUUUCAAAAUCGGGGUUAUUUUCCCCUUUUGAGAGCUUCCGCUGCGUGCGCUGCAGAAACGCUUAAAGUUUCGCUAAAAUAAUGUAUGACAGAAUUGUUCCUCUUUGAAAGAUCUAAAAAAAGUCCGUGACAGCAUAUGUCUAUAUGUUAAGGUUGGCUCACUAUAACGUUUUUUAUUCUAACCAAAUUUGUUCUAAAAUAAAGCAAUAUUUGUGAAUUAUUCCACGCGGACGAAGCCGCGGGCAAAAGCAAGUAAUAAUAUAUGUAUGUUAUAAUUUUAGUUCGUGUUUGUGAAUGACAGGUUACGAAAAUAUCAUCAAUCUUGGUGAAUGGUAAGUUCCUUAAAAUUGAAAACCCACUACAACAGAAUUGAGCAUUUUAAAUAAAUUAUAUCAAAUUAUGUUGUUUAAUUAAUUUGUUUUUUUUGUAAAGUGCUUGUUGUGAAAGUUGAUUUCUCUUAUUACUCACAUUCUUAUGUCUCAUUUGGUCUUAAGCACGUAAAGUGCGAGUUAAAAUUAAAAAACAUUAGCCAACGUAAAACGAGAACACAGUAAACACAGAUGAUAUUUUUCAAACUCUAAAAACGUGUGUCAUUCAAACAGCAUCAAAAACGCAGUACAGGAAAUAACAAAAAAAAAAAAAAACAAUACAUUAUCUUUAUUUGUUUAUUUAAAUUUAAUUCUGGCAACAAUUACGGUCUUCGAAAAGUUCGGUUCCGUAAAUAAUAAUUAAAAAAAAAUUCAACCUCAGAGCUCUAAUUCAAAUAUUGUGUUCUUUUAAUUGUACUCGAAGGUAAAGUGACGCGCUCCCUGCCAACUGACUGUCAAGACACUGGAAUUUUUUCCCGUUUUUUUUAUAUAGGUAAUUAAUUAUGAACUAUCAGAGAAAUAAAACCUUUAAACUGACGUGUACAAAUUAGAUAAAGCCUUUUUUUUCCAUUCUGUACAAACGAUUGACAUUAAAACAUGACAUUAAUACCUAGUACGAAUUUGGAAGAGGUUUUCAUUGUCGUAUCGAAAGGUAAUUGGGCCAUAUUUACUUAUUAAUGGAGUUAGUGAUGGGAGAUCUUGGGUCCUUAACACAGCGUUGUGUUAUUAUAAAUAGUUUUCUUUGAACACUCAACAACGUGUAGUCCGUUCCCAAAAACUUGUAUUAGUCAACAAUCAGCGGCGCUACUGCACCUUUACUGGUGGAAGGACCUCUUGUGAGUCCCCGCGGGUGGGUACCACCGCCCUGCCUAUUUCUGCCGUGAAGCAGUAGUGCGUUUCGGUUUAAAGGGUGGGGCAGCCGUUGUAACUAUACUGAGACCUUAGAACUUACAUCUCAAGGUGGGUGGCGCAUUUACGUUGUGGAUGUCUAUGGGCUCCAGUAACCACUUAACACCAGGUGGGCUGUGAGCUCGUCCACCCAACUAAGCAAUAAAAUACAUAAAACUUCAGAGGUGUCAAGGGACACCCGGAUGGAACGAAGUUCCUUUCGAUUAAUUAGUGAAGGAAUUGUAAUUUUUUUUUUAAGUUAUAGUAAUAAAUUACGACAUUAUGAAGAAGAAAAAAACAAUACUAUGAACUAAAUUACUAUUGUUGAAACGCUAUCUCGAGAAACUGUACUCAUUACGCGGACCAAUGGGAUACGAGCAAUGUCACGCGAUAAGCGCCUACACGUUGAUUGGUCAGAAUGACGGAUCUAAAAAGUGUCGCGACAACUUUUCGUAAGAAUUUUUUCCGUCUAGCCCCCUUUCACUGGAAGGCGAUGCUCGACUUCUGCGAGUGCACCAUCUCGCAGAAGGAGGCGGCGGGGCGCGUUAGAGACGCGCUAGCCCGCCGCCGUCGAGCGGGGGCCAGGGAGGCGGAUCUCGCCCAAGCCCUGGCCCUCUAAGUGUUUCGGGUCCCCCUCACAUGUCGGUCUGGGGACCGGCGAGAGGGACCUAAGAAGACGUCGUGCAAGCUGCUCUGCACGCGUUUUACGCAAGAGCAUCCGGGUGAUGGAAGGCCGGCUAUCCUCGACCCACGCUGGUUCUGACCCAGCGGGGUAUUCCGUAGGAUAGCUCACUCUAACCGGCGCCAUCUAGGCGGGCUCCGGAUAGCCUGCCGACCGAGAGGGCUGGUGGUCGUGGCGCCGACGACCGCCAGUCCGGCGUCCCGAGGGGGAGGGUGAUGGGAGAGAUGUGCUCCGCACUAAACACUUCACUUUCCCCCCUUUGCUUUUUCAUGAGUUCUGUCUCAUGUGAGGUUUGGACGUUGGUUGUUGAGCGACAGGAGGUUUUAGUCGGUUCGACUCCGACAUGCUCCGCCCGCCGUCCCCAGUGGAGGGCGGAAGUCCGGCGAUUUCCUCCUGACAAAAAAAAAAAAAAAAAAAAAAAAAAAAAAAAAAAAAAAAAAAAAAAAAAAAAAGCCCCCUUUCACAACGCGCGAUAAGGAACUUCGUUCCAAAAAAAAAAUCGACUCAGUGAAACGCUUUUAUUUUACUUGUGUGUUUGUUUGUAUGUAAAGGAAUUUUUAACUUGAAAUUUUGAAUACGGAUUCUUAGACGGAUGACAAUACAAUAUUAUUUUAUACUACCGCACCAAUAUGCUGACCAGUAUCAAGAUUUAAAAAAACAAAGUAGUGGUUGCAAUUUGCAAUUUAAGCGGCAUUUUUUUGUGAUGUCUGCUUCGCGAUAAAAAGAGGCAUCUGAAUUGUUUCAUCUUUGAAUGGGGUCUAAAAAUACAGUCCAUAUCAUAUAAUUAGAAUGGCCCACGUUCUAUGAAUUACAAUUGACAUGUACGGACGGCGCUUGUUAUUUAAAUGUAUGAAUAAAACAAAACUAUAUCUUGGUUUAUUGUAAGGCUUGUUUCGCGAUAGCCUUUUGCAUGAGUCGAUACCGUACAUGAUGUAAAGCUAUGGCAUAUAUCUAUUACAAAGGGAAGGAAAAAAACAACAUAGUGAAGCGAUAGAAAAUAUUUUAAAUAAACAAGAAACUCUUUAAUAAAAUGAAUUCAAAAUAUAUUUGUUUUUUUUUUUGUUGAAAAACUUCAAUACAUACAAAUUUCAAAUUGUCAAUGUGUUAGUAUUGUAGCGGGUCGAUAAAGCGGCACGACACGAGAACCCUCUCAUCGUGGCCGCCGGUAACUACAUUCCCGAUCCUGCGGACAGAAUGGAAAGCAGUCGACGUCGCCCAAAACACGUCAUCUCGGAUCCUCCCGAUCCACUAACGGUGCUUUUAGGUACUUCAAGCACCGGUCACCGUUCUCGUCGAACCCGUCGCUUGCGACGAAGGGCUCGUCGAGUAAAUUAACUCUCAGACACAGCCCACUGAGUUUCUCGCCGGAUCUUCUCAGUGGGUCGCGUUUCCGAUCCGGUGGUAGAUUCUGCGAAACACGACUCUUGCUAGGGUUCGUGUUAGCAUCGUCGUCAGGUUUGAGCCCCGUGAGCUCACCUACAAACGUUAGGGCGAAGCUGAAAUAGCCUCUCAAGUCUAUCAGCAUAGGUAGGGAAAAAAAAAGUAGCGGGUAGUUGUCACAGAUUUCAUAUUUAAUUUUUAAUUGCCCUAAAUCCCAUCAGGUCCUGUAAUCACAAAAAACUAUCGAUCAGUUGAAUGAAGUGUAAACACUUUCCCGAUAAUAAUUUCUACUGGCUAGUUAGUGUACAACUAUAAUAACAAUUACCUAUAUUUAGUUUAAUAUUCCUUAAUAUAUAUUAUCUUCAGCCCUUUGAUACCCACCGCUGGACAUAGGCCUCCCCUUCUUUAUUCCAUAAUGCUGGAUCGCCAUUUUCAUUCGCCAUCAUCCGGCAUCUUUACGUCUUAAUCUUAACCAGCAUUCCGUCACUGACUUACUCCACCUAUUAUCAUUUCGCCUUGCUAAAUGUGUAUUUAUUUAGUAUAUAUUAACUAUAAUAAUAAUAAAUUUUCGUUCAACAACAUAAUAAACCGUAAAACGUGACUUAUUUAAAUAUCAAUGAAUACAAACAAUUACAAUCUCUAUUUCGAUCAUAAGGUCGAUAACGGUUUGGUAUUGCACGGGUACAUUGCGGGGGUAGGCGUCAGUCAGCCUCGCUCAUCUGUUGGUCUGCGAUGGACAGUUUUCAACACCAACAUUGCUCUUCAACGUCCCACGUAAACAAGCCAGAGCCAUUGUCGGUACGGCCGCAUGGAAUGUUGGCGUAAGUUCGCGACCUCACUCGAAAUAAACGUCUUUUGUUGUUAUGUUAUAAUCGUAUUUCAUUGUUUAAUUCGUACUGAAAUAACUCAUACGAAACGAGUAAGGCAAUUAAAUCAACAUCCACUCCACUCGGAGCGAGGAAAGUUCGCUGUAAAAUCUCGUUCAAACUUUUACGACUGUGAAUAGAGAAUGCCGGUUUUCGAUCGUGCGCGAAUUCGUGGAACGUGUCUAUCGUAAACAGUUUUAUAUGUAAUAACAAAAAACACAUGUAAUAUUAUGAAAUGAAGUUAGUAUUAAAUGAAUUACGAUACAAGUACAAUCGUAAACCAAUUGAUUGCUUCGACUACUAUUUCAUUCUAUAACACAAUCAUUCAGACAAUAAAUAUCAAGCCUAUAUUUUCAGUUUGGUUUCAAACACUUUAACCGGCGGGUCUUGAGAAUGUGUAAGAAGGUUUUAAGCAAAACGUUGAGCGCGCUGGAACACGAAGGCUAAAAAAUAAUCACGACUGAUCAUUUGAAGCAAUCCUCGCCAUUAUUUGCCGGUGUUCUGAGCUUGCGUCAGGGAAGACGUUUCGGCUUCUCCAAUUUCGGGACCAUGAAAGCGCGCACUCUAAACUAAUGCAAAUUCGAUACGUUUCAUUUUAUAACCCGUGUUUAUUCUUUUAACAGUAUCGAUUGUUACGAGAAUAAUAAUACAACGGGCCAAUGCCCGUAUCGAUUCUGCGAGACGCGUUAAGGCAGGUCGGCGGUAGAUCAAUCCCGAUCGGCGCUAUUCAAUUAAGAUACUGCGAAACAUUUUAUUUGCUGAGAUGUCGGCGCCUUCUGAUAUAUGUUGCAUGUAGCUUGUCGUGGCUCGACUUCCUGACGCGCCGGUUACCUAUAAACAAUAAUCACUUCCUACAGUUUUUAAGGCAUGUCGUUAAGGUCCGUGUUUAAUUUGGGGGGCGGCGGUUUCUCGCUUUUUGGCGUAAUCGACGUGUGUGGCGAGGCGGCCCCAUAUUAGGAGAGCACGGAACGCCGCUCGCUCUAAAAUCGAUCGAACGUCAUUCAGAUAUCGAUAUUAUCGAAAAUCGAUAUUUAUGGGUUCGUCGAAGCGCUGCAUUGCGGUGUUCGUGGUUGUGAUUUCUUAAAAACUCAUCUAAACGGGUUAAUAGAGAGUUGUAACAAACGAUUGCAUAACCCGACUGUGGUCUAUAGUUUUUUUUUUUUUUUAAUGUCAGUAUCGUGGCGCUGUUGUUUAAAUUCAUUGUGAUUGAUGGACGAGUUUUAGCAUACCAGUUAUCGUCAUAUUUAAUUAGCACCGAGCAUUGUGCAUUGCAAAAUUUGCGCAUAUUUUAUGUAAUAUAAUGAUUGUAUAAUAAAUAAAUUUUGGGUACAUGCUAUAGCAGUUACAAUUAUGUAGCGUAUGUGCAUAGAGGGUUAAAGAUAACCAUUCCCUAAAGAGUAUCACUCAGAGUUCGAUGCGCUGAAGUUUGAAUUUUGUAUAUUUAAAAAAAUACAUAUGUAUUUACAAUUCUCCUUUCAUUUAUUCGAAACUUCUGAAUUUAUUACAUGAAUUAAUCACAAACGCGCGAUCGAUUUUAACGUAGAUUUAAUUUUAAUCGUACUAUUUAUAAAUCGCGAAUACAGAAAAUUAAUAAUAAUCGAAAACAUAUCGAUCUUUUUAAUCUUAAACUCAUCGUUCAACAAUAGGUCUCGCUCAUAUGCUCUGAACGCGACCAUACAAACGUCUUUGUCACAACAUUAAUAUUCACUUCGUAUAUUUAAUUCAACGCAUACCCUUCGAAGGGACAAUGAAAAAUCAUCUUCGAUCUGUCAAUGUCAGUAAGACUGCCAAUUUAUAUUGACCGUUCGUUUAAAAAUUCGGCCCUUAUUUUACAGAUAUCCGGAAGGAGAAUUUAAAUAAAUUAUGUUGCCAUGUUUAUUUAAAAGUAUGAUUUAAAACUUUCGUAGAUAAAUGUAAAAAAUUAAGUUGUAAAUUAUAAGGAAGUGCGAGGAGCUUACAAUGUUUGAGCUUAUAAAUGCUUGUUAUCGCUGUUUCCAAGCCGAAACAAAGCACAAACCAAACUCCAGCAGCCCGUACUGAAAAUAACCAAUCAAUAAAAUAAUGUGAAUUGUUUUAUUUUCUUAAUUUACUAUUUCAAUUUUGGCAUAUUACGGUAAAAGUGCAUCUGAGUGAGAUGACAUAAAAAUACUAGAAGUGGCUUCUCGGAUUCUUUAAAAUAUUCGACUAGUCUCACUAUAUUUCAAUGGUUUUACUAGGACAUUUAUAAUUUCAAUUCUUUUAAUUCGAUAGUCUACUUCAGACAAAAAAUAACAUUUUAUUUUGCUUCGAUUCAAACAUACAUAGAAAGUGUGUGAUAAAAAAAUGAUGAUUUGAUUAAAAGACUAGAAACCGAGAUAGAAACUAAAUAAAAAAAUUCGUAAAAAAAAUGUCAAACUCCAAUUAUAAAACAACAUUCAAAACUUAGGGAAUCCAUUUUGUUUCAUAUAUAUCGUCGUUGUCAAACCAAAAUCUGCUAUGUGCAGUUUUUAAGAUUUUUACUUUUUGACCUUUUCGUAUAGUUCACAGCCCUAUCUAUCGUAUAAAAAAAAAACUGUUAUGUGUCUAAUAGCUUUUAAUAUUUAUCUAUAGGUUUGAUAUAGUUCUUAAAAAUUCACUUUCAUAUAAAAUUUUACUUACGAAAAUGUUUUACUCGUUAAUUCAAAAUAGAGUUUUUGCACAUAACAGAUUUUGGUUUGACAGCGACGUUAAAUGAGUAAACUCUUCAUUUACUUCGUUGCGUUUAAAUUUCCACACACCUGAAACCGUUCCGACUAAACGCAGACAACGCACGGGGUCAACGUUUUGGUGUGACGCGGGGGAGGGGUGUCAUGCUCCCUAAUAAACCCCUAUAAAAUGCGGGUAGAACAUGAAUGGUAAACAUUUUAUUUAUUCUUAAACUAGCUGACCCGGCAGACUUCGUAGUACCUAAAUCUAAACCUUUAUAUAAAAUAAAUUUAAAACAAACAAAAGGAAUCCGUCCGACGGGGGGAACACAUUAAAGGAAAAACAAAAUUGUUAUUUUUAUUUAAUUCCGAGCAUUUUCAUAUUUAUCUAACCUUUUAAACCUUCUCUGGACUUCCAGAAAUAAUUCAAGACCAAAAUUGGCCAAAAUUAGCCAGCCGUUCUCGAGUUUUAGCGAGACUAACGAACAGCAAUUCAUUUUUAUAUACAUAUUAGAAUAUAGAUUUGCAGAAAACAAGAUGAACUUUAUAAAAUUAUAACAAAUACGAACAUCUCUCUAUGAACUCUUCACAUAAAGGCACAUCCCGAAAUAAAUAAUUACCGAGAGACCCGAUCCUUAAUUAAGGUUAAAGGUCGUUCAGACACGGCCUUCUAUUUUCUAUAUUUAGAAGCUUUCAACUCUAAUUUAAUAUGUAAAUACGUUUACGUCUACAACGGGGCGAAUCGGUACUCGUGUGACUUUGGCAGACUAAUGAAGGUAAAUUAGAUAUUUCAAUUAUAAAUUUCUCUGUGUUGAAAUAAAGUUUUAAGAUAUUUUUGUAAGCUAUGCUUCACUACAUAGUAUAAAACAAAGUCGCUUUCUCUGUCCCUAUGUAUGCUUAAAUCUUUAAAACUACGCAAAGGAUUUUGAUGCGGUUUUUUUUAAUAGAUAGAGUGAUUGAAGAGGAAGGUUUAUAUGUAUAAUAACAUCUAUUAAAUAGUGGAGAAAUCAAUAAUAAAUUACAGUUUCCGAAGCGAAGCGAGGGCGGGUCGCUAGUAUAUUAAUAAAGAAAGGUGUUUUAUGAAUGCCUUCACAUGAGUAAGCGAUUUUAACAUUUAUUUGCAUCCUUUUUUUCUAUCUAAUUGAGUGCAGCCUCAACGGGCUAUUCUGAAUUGUUUGGUGAGCAAAGUCACGGGGCUCAACUUGAGAGUAUUACUAAUAACUGCCCCAGUAACAGUUGUGCUUUGCUGAAUCUUACCAUCUAAUCGGAAUCGCGACCAACUGAGAAGAUGCGAAGAGAAACUCAUUGGAACUCGCACCGAUAUUAGCUUAAACACAAAAUGGAAUUUGCCUAUGUACAUAGGCUUUAAAAUAAAAUACAGAUAUAUAAUACGAUUUUCACAUACUUGUAGUACCACGGCACUUCAAAUCGUGUCACUCGUUCCUUUUAUCCUUGUAGCGACAAAGUAUUUUCUCUCUUGAGAACAAAAAUUUUUCGCAAACAUAAAGUUCCUAAAAAUACCUUUCCCUGGAGCCGAAUAAAUCUUGUUAUAUAGAAUGGCGAAUGUAUGAGAUAAAAGCUUUGGCCAUUAAACCGUAUGUUUUAGGAUUCCGUAACCAAAUUGCAAAAUAAAGAAAAAAAGUUAUUUUAGUAGUUUGUAUUUCGCGCCUUUUCCAAACGAAACAAAUACGCCUAUUAGGGGCGUUGAGUGUAUAAUUUAGUUAAUGUUAUAGAACGAUUUAAACUGUUCAAUUCGCGGUAUCAUCAUCAAGGAACAUCUGAAGUCUGAAUAUGGGUUAAUUCCUUAAGUCAAGUUGAUAUCGACGUUACACGAUCUAGGAUAAGCCGUUAGUAGGAAAUUUAAGAUAACAAGCCACUUAUUGAGUCUACCGACAGCCUGACGUGGUAUCUACGGUCAAUCUCCGUGGUUAUUUCUAGUCGAAUGAGACUUACAAACUGCACUUAGGUUUUUUUUUUUGUGUUAUUAUUCGAAUAACUGGCGGAAUGAGGCAGUAACUAUGUUUAUUGAAUAUAAAAUUGCUGACUUCAAUUUUUAUUGCUAUCACUAUUAAUCUUGUUCGUAGAGAUUCUGGGUGCAUACUUGUCGGAAUAUUGGUAUCUACAUCUGGAAUAAAACACCAAGGAUUUUUGAUUAAGCUGAGAAAAGUGUGCGCUCAAGAUUUGUAAACGAAUCACCGAAAGGUUGGAACACGAAUUCUUUAUGUUUUUGCUACUCCAAGUUACAACUUGGAUGCGUACAGAUAUUUGAUUCGAAUGUAGUUUUAGAACAAAUCACCUGUGAUACGUACGAUAGGAAAUUCCUAUCGCAAAUUGAAUUAAGCAAUCAAGAUUAGUUAAAAUGAUGAAUGAUUCAAGUUCUGUGAGCAAAAGUUGAGUGGCAAUCGUCUCAUCCGCAUCUCAAAGAUUCUGUAUCCCAACUACGUAAAUAAACUAAUAUACAAAAUAAAAAUAAAAAACUGUGUACGCUCAUCGCUCCAGCGUUACGUGAUCUUUUAAUAUCGACAGACUAAUCUCCGCAAAGUCUAGAUUGAACCGUAUCAAAGAUUAGAAAAAAACAAACACAAGUGCCUUGUGCAAAAAGAAAGCAAAGGAAAACAGACUUCCAAGAAUGUAUCCGCACUCCGUAUGCACUAAAAUUAUUGACGGAAAUAGAAUGCUUAUUCACAUAUGUUCGUCGUUUGAAAUUAUUGUUUUUUUUUUAUUGCCUUUGUAGGCAGACGAGCGUACGGCCCACCUGAUGGUAAGUGGUUUCCGUCGCCCAUGGACUUCAGCAGUGCCAGGAGCAGAGCCAAGCCGCUGCCUACUGCUUAAUACUCUCCAAAUUAACUAAUUUUAUUUCGCGCACCUACCCAAGUUGGGACACGCGAAUAAUUUGUGGUUAUAUUUAUUCUGAAUAAUAUCACUGGUCAUACCUAUUGUACUGGCUAGCGAAUUAAGAACGAGAUUACCGUUGGUGAAGACUACUGUGAAGUUUACUGGUGGUAGGACCUCUCGAGAGUCCCCGCGGGUGGGUACCACCACUCUGCCUAUUUCUGCCGUGAAGCAGUAAUGCGUUUCGGUUUGAAGGGUGGGGCAGCCGUUGUAAGUAUACUUGAGACCUUAGAACUUAUACAAGGUGGGUGGCGCAUUUACAUUGUAGAUGUCUAUGGGCUCCAGUAACCACUUAACACCAGAUGGGCUGUGAGCUCGUCCACCCAUCUAAGAAAUAAAAAAAAAUAUCGCCACCCACUAUGAGACACUACGCCAGCUAACAUAAUAUGUGUUUGCGUGAGAGCAGUGAAUGACUUGUAAGUUUUGUACGCAUUCAUUGCGGCUUUACAAAUUACGAAAUUGAUCAAUGAUAAACUCGUAUAAGAACUUAAUAAUAAAAAUAGCAAUAACUAUUCACAUUAAUUAGCCUAAUAGUUUGUUGCUGUUUUGUCUUCGGGAGCCGUUCCGGUCAUGCUCAGUGAUGUGUGUGUGUGUGCGUGUGCGUGCGUGUGUGUGUGUGUGUGUGUUUUUUUUAUUAUUGAAAGAUUACUGGUGGCCCGGAGGCCUCUCCAGCUUCACCAGGACAGGUGGGCGAGCAAAGGCUCAGCCAGGAGGGGUGGGAUUUGCUAACAACUGCCCGAGCGCCUCCGAAGGAGACCUAACAACUCAAGAGCAGCUGCUUCGCGAAUGAAUCUACUAUCGGAUCGGAAUCGCGACCCACUGAGAAGAUCCGGCGAGAAACUCAGCGGGCUGAUGCAUGGGCUAGGUUGCACGUCGAACUCUUUGUCGAAUUCGACGAGUACGGUUACCGGGGUUCCUCAGCCUGCUCCUUGUGUUAGAGCUGAAGGUAUCUAAUGCAAGAGUUAUUGGAUCUGAUAGAUCCGUAAGGACGUGUCUAGGGCGACGACGGUGACUUGCUCCUGCGUGAUCAGGAUUCUGGGAGUAGUCAGCGGCGGCAACGAUAAGGCGAUUAUCAUGACGGUGUGUGCGUUGUAGUUGUCCCAGGGUCUUCUGCCAAGCGGUUGCCACUCAAACGCGAUUAAUGCUGCGUUGACUCCUAGGCAAUGCCUUGCGCGAUGAGGGAUUGGUCGUAGUCCAUGACAGACUAACAUUUUAUUUCGAAGCACGUCAUACGAGUAUAUCGAGAUAUUUCACGAAACACAUUUAUUUAAGGUUACCGAUUAUCGUAAACUAGAGGUCCCGCAGUAGUCGAAAUUCGACUAUAAUUAAUUGGAAUUGUAAGUUUGUACACUAUUUUGAUUGUAUUUUAUACUUCUAUAAUCACAAAUUUCGCGAAGACUAUACUAUAAAAAAUAUUAACAAAGACAAACAAUAUUUAAUCUAUUCUCAAUUUGACAACAGACGUCAAGAACAAAAGUUUGACAAUAAAUAGUAUGCAUGCGUGUGUGCGUCAAAUACAUGGUAUGUAAUGUGUGUAAUGUUUUCUUUAUUGAUUUAAUGUAUCUUUAAUGCAUUAUUUUAAAAAAAAUAUUAGCAUUGUGCACUUCUUCUCUAUAUUCUCUAUAAGUGUGGAAAAUUUCAUACUCGUCCGUCCGCGCAAUUUUCGUAAAAAGGGAUACAAAGUUUUUGCUUCACGUAUUAAUAUUCGUAAAUAAAAUUCUAUCGGACUGAAGAAUAUACUCCCAAAAUUCUGAGAAGUAAUUCUUAAAGAAACUUCUCAUUAACUCUGUUACAGACUAUGUAUUUUAUUACUGACAUAAACUGAAAGAACAUUUAAGUAUUCAUACAAACUAUUACAAACCAACGAAGCGUUUGUGAGCGAGUACAUUACAUAAUUUCUAAAUUGUUAUGUUCAACAUGAGAAAUAUUUCGAAUAUUUGGCAAACAUAAUCCUAACAAAUAUUUCUAUUUGACUGCAAAACGGCUUUCACGGAAAUAUUGUUACGGUUUAUGGUGGAAAGAAAACAGGAAAAAUAACAAAAAAAUCUAUUCCAUGCUUCAAGAUUUUAAAUAGACGGAGCACGUGUGCUUUCAGUAGCUCUGAAACUAGCUACGUGUUCAGAUUGUUAAUGGAAUCGGCUCGUUAACUGAUGUGUAUUUAUUGCUCCAUAAAUAAAGAUGAUCAAAAUAAAGCCGAUCGAAAAUAAAAUUAAAAUCCUAAAGUUAUAAGAGUUGUUUCAUGGCGGGUGUAUUUUAUUUUCGAAUUUUGACUCCAGCUUGACGGAAACUUGAAUUCCCUAAACAUAUAUACAUACCUACCUCGUAGAACAGAUAGAUCGCAUUUUUACUGGUGAUAGGACCUCUUGUGAGUCCCCGCGGGUAGGUACCACCACUCUGUCUAUUUCUGCCGUGAGACAGUAAUGCGUUUCGGUUUGAAGGGUGGGGCAGCCGUUUUAACUAUACUGAGAACUUAGAACUUAUAUCUCCAGAUGGGUGACGCAUUAAAGUUGUAUAUGUCUAUGGGCUCCAGUAACUACUUAACACCAGGUGGGCUGUGAGCUCUUCCACUUAUAUCAGCAAUUAAAAAAAAGUGAAUAAUUGCCAAUAGUACGCGUAAAUAUUGCUUCAAGAAUCAUAUUUAUGAUGAUGAUUGAGAGUCAAGUGAGUUGAUUGUCGAUCGCCGUGUAUUCGUAAGUCUAUGCAUCUAUAAUCUACUAGCUGACCUGGCAAACAUUGUUUUGCCAUAUAUAAGAUUUCUAUGGAAUUUCUAGUGUAGAAAAAAAAACUAACUUAUUGUAAGUGUGUAAGGAUGUGGUAAAUGAGUGAAAGAGGUAUGUAGUGCUGUGAACGAUGAGGGAAUAUAUAAUAAAAAUAACAAAACUUCAUUCAACCACAUAAUACCUCAUUAUAACAAAAAAAAUGUCCAAAUAAAAAAAAAGAUGUUAGGGGUGGACAACCCUAAUCACUUAGGGGUAUGAAAAAUAGAUAGUAGCUGAUUCUCAGGCUUACUGAAUAAGCAUAAAAAAUUUCAUGAGAAUCGGUCAAGCGGUUUCGGAGGAGUAUGGGAACGAACAUUGUGACACGAGAAUUUUAUAUAUUAGAUAAUACCCUUUUUUUAGCAAUUCAAAAGAAAUGGAUCCGAAUCUUCAAACGCCGACCCCGCGAUUAAUAAAACGCUUCAAAAGUGAAUAACGAACAAUUAGCGAUCGAAAAUGUUUACGCUCGUAAAUUUCGCCGCACACAUCAUUUGAGCCGGCACUGUUUACCCGACACGGUUGCGAUCGCGUUUGACCGAAAGGCGCUCGUGUCCGAAAUCGAGCAUCAUAAUAAUGUCGCCUUAUAAACCGAACGUGUUCCAAUUACAUUAACAUUCACAUCUCUCGCAUCACGACGUCUUCAUUUUAAAUGUUCUUAAAAAAAAAACUGGGCCAGAAACACUUUUAUGUGACGCAUACGUACGUAUUUUUGGAUUAAAAGAAUGACACCUUCAUUAUAUAACCCUUUGUGGUUCCAUGCGCACUAUGAAACCAAUUCAGGUAGUGCAGCUCGAAAUUCAAAAUGUUUUUCAAAUUCAAAUUUUUUUUUAAAUCAAAUCGAUAGACCCUGUUAUCCAGUAAUAAAAAAAAAUUAGCAACAAAAAACAACAGAUUUCAACAUUAUUUAAAUAAAAAACAUUAAAACAAACAAAAAUACAUUUCAAAAUCAAACUAGCGUUUUACAUAUUUUAUCAUUAAGGUUUCCAUUAAAAUGUGUGUAUGUAUAACGUAAUACAAAAUUUUAGCAAAAAGAAAACCGACCUGAAUAAAAUAAAACCAGAAAAACACCAAUACCGACAAAGUUUUUUUUUUAUAUUUCUUAUAUAGGUGGACGAGCUCACCACCCUUCAAACCGAAACGCAUUACUGCUUCACGGCGGAAAUAGGCGGGGUGGUGGUACCUACCACCAGUUAUGCAAGCUAUAAUUUUGUGGGUUUGAUUGUGUAUUACACGAUGUUAUUCCUUCACCGUGGAAGUCAAUCGUCAACAUUGAGUUAAGUACAUAUUUCAUAAGAAAAAUUGGAACCCGCCUGCGGAAUUCGAACAUCGUUGCAUCGCUACACACGAAUGCACCGGACGUCUUAUAUUGUAGGCCACGAGGACUUCGUCAAUUAAAUAUACAAUAUUAACUAUAACUCAAAAACUGCUGACCUGAUAUUAGAAAAUUUAAAUGGGAACAUAUGAGAAGCACGAGCUUGCGACUCGAUUCGCCUAGAAAAAAGAUCUGAGAUAAAACAAAACAAAAUCAGUCGAAUUCAUAAUUUUAUCCUUUUUUUUUAAUUCGACUUCAAAUGCGUUUAAAGCUCAACUUAUACCUCUACCGAUCAACUAUGAAGUUCGCUCUAAGCUAAUUAUUACCACAAUGUAAUAUUGGCUAUAUUAGCAUCUACUAUUGUCUAGCUAGAGAUAUUCAAGUAACUUUGGAUUUAAAAAAAAAACAUUGUACAUUCAAUCAAAUACAAAAAAGGGUCAACUGUCUCACGUAAGGUCGUAUUUGAAUAUAAAUAAUCAUCUACGCUAAUUAUAAAUUAUUACGAACAAUUAAAAUCGUUACGCGAUCUCACACUUUAUAUAAAUUGCAAUGGGAAUAUGUCCGAAGCUAAAAAAGAAAUAUGUAAACUAACUACCCUACCUACCUAGAUAUUCACUGUAUUGUAGAUUUUUAAGUGAUCAUUAUUUUUAACAUUUGUGCUUAAUUGUAUUCUAAAGAUCGAGUUCCCACUCUCCCACGUCACAAGAGGCCGGUGACCUCGCGCAUCACCAGAUUUCAUAAUUGUUUUCAUUACAUCGCGUGCAAUGCUAGAAACAUUAAUAAAAUAUAAAUAUUUGAAUUGAUUUUUUAUUAGGCUAUUGUUUACGUUUCUGAAAACGUUUUCAAUAAACUCUCACUCUGUGUACAUUAUUAAUGUAAUGUAUUAUUUUCUGUUAUCGUUCUAUCGGUUCUCCACAAUUUGUCUUUCCGCCCCCUGAUCACGUAAAAAUUUGCGACAGCCACAAUUUUGCAGAUGUUGUGCAGACGCGUCGCGACCGAUCGCAAAACGUCAAAUUAUUUCGUAUCACGUACCGCGAUUGUUCGCUUACCGCUUACUGCAGUUUUCUGUCAUACAACUAGCGCCAGUCGCAAUCGGGUAGCAAUAAUUGGCACUAAAAAGCCACAUUACUUUUUUUUUUUUUGCUGAACAAACCGGCAAAUGAAUUUAUAAAAGCGCGUUACAUAUAAACAUUUUAAAAUGUUUAAGUGGAAUUCACGUUUGAAACGCCAAGUGAGAGCUGCUAAUUCUGUUCUUUUCGAUGAAGCGUUACUAAAAAUAAGUGAUCUAAUAAUAAUUUUUGCUUUAUUUUGAAUAAUAGCUACAAAAAUGUAAUUGUGUCAUGUCAAACACUGAUAACAUUUUUUUUUGUAAUCGUUUGAUAAUUUGUAAUCAGAUAGUUGUUUACGUUACGAACCUAUUUUAAAAAAGAAUGGAUCAAAAUUAUAGCCUAAUUUAUUAAUUUCAUUAUCAAUUAAGUAAGUACAUAAGCUCACAACCCAUCUAGUGUUAAGUGGUAUAGACUUCACAACGUGAAUGCCACCCCCAUUUUUAGAAACGAGGUCUGAGUUUCAACUGUAUACCAAAACGGCUGCCCCAUUCUUCAAAUUGCAACGCAUUACUGCUUCGCGGUAGAAAUGGGCGGAAUGGUGGUCUUGCGGGUUAAUCAAACGCCCUACCACCAACGAUUUCAGAAUAUUUGCUAAUUUGAUUUUAAAUAAAAGAUGAAUGAAUCCUUAAUCAUGGAAGUCUUCCAUGUAUACAUGUCAAAUAUGUGUUUCAUUGGAUUUAUUGAUAUCUGCCUGCGGGAUUCUAGCACUGGUUCAGUAAGAUUUCAAAUUAAAUAGUAAAUUCUAGAAUAAAUGAGUUAGUUUUAUGGUUUUAUCAAUAAUAAAGUGUACAACAGAUCCAUCUUACGCCGACAUGAGGCCGACAACGCUAGAACAACCAGUCGAUGAUAUUCUAGGUGAGAUGCUGCUAUUCUUUAUCAAGUAAUAGAUAGUGGAUUUGUUUGACUUGGCAAGAGUAGGCUUUGAUUUGAAUACCAGAAAUAUAGUGCUGUCUUUCACAGCUUGAAGGGAAAUAAAAGCUGUGCAGACUAUUCAUAAUAAUGUUCACCCAAGGUCAUGGGCAAUAUGACGUGAAUAGGAAACUGCAUGUCAGACAUUAACUUAAUGUUCUAUAUUAUUUUUAAACAAAUGAAUCUAAUAUUUUAAGACAAUAAAUAAAUAUUUAUUUUUAUAAUUAGCCCAGUUUUUCGUCGACGAAGCCAUCUUAAGAGAAGCUUCAUUGCAAAUAUCAGGCCGAUAUUUAACUAUAGCGGACAACAAACAAGAGUGGACACAUCGUGAGCUGUAGUUGUAGAAAGAGGAGAAAAUGGAAACUAAGGCGAACCACUGGCUCAUGCAGCUUUCAUUUCAGCAGAGGCUGUUCGUACGCAGGCAGAGGCCGCGCAUCUUUCAGCUGAGAUAUAUAAAAAAAUUCAAGGAAUUGACCAAUAUCGGCAAAAACCUUGUUUAAAAUAAUAAGUUCAAUUUUGUUUUAAUUUUAGCUGAGUCCCUAAUAGUUUAUAUUACCAUAAAAACGAAAUAGCGCUUGUUACAAUAGUCAAGCAAAUCCAAAUAUAUACGUUUUACUUUAGGCUGGUACUACAGUAAAUUUUAUGACACUAGUGAGUAUAUUUUACGCUAAUAAAACUACUCUCAACUUAGCAUUUCAAAAUGACUAUUUAUUUUUUUAUUGCUAAGAUGGGUGGACGAGCUUACAGCCCACCUGGUGUUAAGUGGUUACUGGAGCCCAUAGCCAUCUACAACGUAAAUGCGGCACCCACCUUGAGAUAUAAGUUCUAAGGUCUCAGUAUAGUUAUAACGGCUGCUCUACCCUUCAAAACGAAACGCAUUAAAGCUUCACGGUAGAAAUAGGCGGAGUGGUUGUACCUACUCGUGCGGACUCACAAGUGGUCCUACCACCAGUAGAAUACCAGUAUUUAGCUUCAUUGUAUAUUUUGUACUCACAGUAUUCGGCAUGUUCUGCUUCUAGUCUAUAGGGUUAUAGAGCUAUCACCUUGCUAUCAUUCUACUUACCUCGGCCCCAAGUUCAGUUAUGUUUCUUUGAAGUUAUCGGCAGUCGAUAUUAUAUUUCAAUUGUGGCUUCAAUUUCAUGCGGCAAGAAUUACAAACAAACUACGAUUUCCUAAUUUAAGAAUUAUUAUUCAAAUAAAACAAAAUUACACAAAAAAAAUUAUUAUCAAACUUAUCUAACGACCGUCUGGUGUAGUGGUAAGUGACAUGGUCGCUACACAAGGGGGUCGCGGGUUCGAAUCCCGCCAAGGGAAGAUAUUUGUAUGAUAAAUAUAAAUGUCUUUUCCAGGGUUUGGAAUUCCAGGGGAUGUAUAUUAAAUAUAUGUAUGUGUAUAAUAAAAAUCCUACAUUUAUUUCCGUUAUCUGGUAUUUAUAUUUAUAUUAUUAUUAUUAUCACAAUGAACAAAAAUCAGUGGUGGUUGAUCAACAUUUUGUCUAAAUUAUGAAUUAUGUUUUUCAUUUUGUAAGUAAUAUUCAUGUAAGUAUCCAACAAAAUUUAGAAGAAUUAUGAAUUACUAGUCGAUUUGUUAUUCAUUCUAUUCCAUUAUUCAAAACAGCAGUAUAUACAAUAAUAUAUAUAACAACACAACAUACAAACGGGGUUAACAUAAAGAUAAAAUGAUACAGAACAAAUUGAGCACGACAGAUUAAAACAUUGACUUAAUAAAACAACCUCACAAUUUUGCUUUCAAAUAGUUAUGAAUCCAUCCUUUAUAUAGUAAAGGUAAAAACACAAAAAUGUUAAGGAAAUAUGUAUAUUUCCACUAAGCACAAUUAAAAAAUUAUAGACACAAAUAAUUAGGCUAUUCUUGCCCUCUCAGUUCACAUAAUUAAGAACAGCAGUUUUCAAAAUAUCUACAUAAAAUUACUAGAAUACAGAGGUUGAGACUAAAUUUAAUGUCUGUUCUCCACAAUCCAAUUGAACCACCCUUGAAUGUUGACAUGGUGCUAAGUGCUGUGUUUCCUCUUCUCUCCCAAAAAAUACAAUGUUAUGAGUUUGAUAAGAAACAUCAAUUUCAGCAUCUUCGUCAGAGAGUUGGGGCACUGGAAACCCAUGUGUGUUUGCCAUGUUAUGCAAUACAAGCUAACAAUUAUGGUCUUGGCCAUCAUAAUAUGAUGAUCAUAAUGCAGUACUCUAUGUACCAACAAGCAUCUCCAACUGGCUUUCAAUACUCACAAUGGUCAACUGUGUUCCUGGUAUGACAAUAAACAUUACUAUAGUACUAUAUAUUAACUGCCUUCCCAGUUUUAAAUAUACUUUUAGAUAGAGUAUUAUUUUGUAGUCAGGUUACUGAGACAGAGCUCAUGAUGUUUUACUUGCCUAAAAACCAAACUUUUUCACUAUUAUGGUGCAGGUCCUGCAUAGGCAUAUUCAGUUGUGAUAAGCCAGACAAAUGUAUCAUGAAAUGUUGCAUUAAUACUAAAAAUGUUAAGAUCACUAUCACAUAUCUGAAAAAUUUAAUUCUUUAGAUAAGUACUAUCAAAUGUUUGUUAUUGUGAAUGAUAGGCUUCAGCAAAAUACUUACUAUUUGCACAUUCUUGAAAUGAUAAUGCUUGCGGUUCUAAAACCUUUCUUCAUAUACAGAAGAUCUGAUAAGUGCAAAUGAGUGCCAUCUAUA